UGCGCUCCUAACAUGGCGGCCGCCGUUGAGGCGGCUCACGUACGCAGCGCGGAGGGAGGCAGAGCGGACGAGCGGGAGCGAGCAAAUACCCUGGCACCCCAGGCAGAAGACAUGGAUACAAGUAUCCCCAUGAAUUAAAUGUUGACUACAAAACAGAGGCCUGGAAGCACUGAUUGAAGACCAUGCUGCCAAAUCCUUUAAAUGAAUAGGAAACAAGAAUCCCUUUGCCAUGCCUUCAGUCAUUUUAUCCAACAUUCAGAGAGUUUCUGCCAUGUGCCAGGCACUGAGCUUGGGUUCUUGCAGUGAACAAGACAUGCUCUGGGGAGAUGAAUGCUGCCAAGAAGGCUCAUUGCUCACAAGAAAAGGAAAAAUGGCAGCUGUCAUUUCAGGCACUUAAUAAGUACACUAAAUUGAGAAGCUGCUGAUUUGUUUUACCUGGUUCCUCCUUCCUGAUAAAGAAGAAAUCUCUUCAAUCAGAGGUUCUUUGAAGAUGAGAUGGAAGGCUGAGCUUCAACUGCAGAAAGUGGCAGAGGCAACAUUCAAAGGAAUAAGCCAGCUCAGCUAGCUCAGCGGUCAGCACCAGGAUUCCUGGAUUCCCAACCUCCUCUCCACCCCUAGGAAAUUUCAGGUUGCCUUUGUUCUGCAGAGUUCUUUUCAAAGGGGAUGAGUUUAGUUGUCCUUUAUUCCUUCACCAUCCUUUUCCUUUCUUUUUUAAGAAAGUUUUUUUAAAAUAUAUUUUUCAUUGAUUUUUAAAAUAAUAAUCUCACUUUACAGAUGAGUAAAACUGAGGCUCAGAGAGGUUACAUGCCUGACUUAUAGUAACAUAGCUAGCCAGCAAGCAACAAGCCAGGUCUUCUCAUUGUAACUCUAGUCUCCCUGCACUACCUUGCUCUGCAUUUAAAUAUAAUAUGUAUGUGACAUCAUAAUAUGGCAUGUGAUAUAUGAUAUGGAAUAUAGAAGACAUGCAUACUAUAUUUGGUGAAUUAUGACAUUAAUUUUUCUCACUCAGUAAAUAUGUAUUAUACAUCUAUUAUGUGCUUAUCAUUAUUCCAGGUGCUGGGGAUAGGGCA
RNA transcript from Myotis lucifugus (little brown bat), 1070 nucleotides. RefSeq lists it as uncharacterized. NCBI's taxonomy places the organism in Eukaryota, Metazoa, Chordata, Mammalia, Chiroptera, Vespertilionidae. The record is from RefSeq and is a predicted model, not a curated record. The transcript has 3 exons.